This 112-nucleotide ribosomal RNA is filed under the name Caerostris darwini. The record is from RNAcentral. Lineage: Eukaryota; Metazoa; Arthropoda; Arachnida; Araneae; Araneidae.
AACGGCCGUACCAUGCUGAAUAUACCGGUUCUCGUUAGAUCACCGAAGUUAAGCAUCAUUGGGCGCGGUCAGUACUUGGGUGGGUGACCACCUGGGAACGCUUCGUGCCGUU